This 484-nucleotide ribosomal RNA is filed under the name uncultured bacterium. RNAcentral's name for it is "partial 16S ribosomal RNA". It matches the Rfam family "Bacterial small subunit ribosomal RNA", at positions 29 to 507 of the family's 1533-position model. The record is from RNAcentral.
AUUGAAUGCUGGCGGCAUGCUUUACACAUGCAAGUCGAACGGCAGCGCGGGCUUCGGCCUGGCGGCGAGUGGCGAACGGGUGAGUAAUGCAUCGGAACGUGCCCAGUAGUGGGGGAUAGCCCGGCGAAAGCCGGAUUAAUACCGCAUACGACCUGAGGUUGAAAGCGGGGGACCGAAAGGCCUCGCGCUAUUGGAGCGGCCGAUGUCGGAUUAGCUAGUUGGUGGGGUAAAGGCUUACCAAGGCGACGAUCCGUAGCUGGUCUGAGAGGACGACCAGCCACACUGGGACUGAGACACGGCCCAGACUCCUACGGGAGGCAGCAGUGGGGAAUUUUGGACAAAGGGGGCAACCCUGAUCCAGCCAUGCCGCGUGCGGGAAGAAGGCCUUCGGGUUGUAAACCGCUUUUGUUCGGGAAGAAAUCCUCUGGGCUAAUACCCCGGGGGGAUGACGGUACCGGAAGAAUAAGCACCGGCUAACUACGUG